AGGCGGCGAAAAUUAGGAUUUGCAGUAGAGUGUAAAGUCAACGCUGGUGGAAUGGUCAGAGUUGGCGGAAGUGUCAGAGCUGGUGGCUCUCUUCAGCGCUGGCAUUUCAGAGUGGAAAAUCGGAGAUAGAGUGUAAGUUCAGCACUGGAAAGGGGCUUUUCUGCCUAACAUAAACAAGAACACUCCAAACCAAAGGCAUCAAAACAAAAAAACACAAAAGAAAGCAAAGAAAUAACAAAACAAAAAGAAACGAAAAGCAAACAAAGAAAAACAACAUUGGUUUCCUCCCAUGCAGCGCUAGUUUUAAAGUCGCCAGCCCAACUUAGAGAAACCCUUAACCAAAAUCACUAUGAAACGUCAGCUGAAUUAAUCCUUGGGAAAACACGUCCUCCUC
Molecule: long non-coding RNA, 394 nt
Filed under: Salvia miltiorrhiza (redroot sage)
Lineage: Eukaryota; Viridiplantae; Streptophyta; Magnoliopsida; Lamiales; Lamiaceae
Description: long non-coding RNA (SMIL_LNC009728)
Source: RNAcentral